UCUUGCACUUGUAAGUCCAACACAAGCAUCCACAAAAUCGUCAUCAAUGAAAUCCGUCGACAAAACCUGCAACCUAUCGGCGACGCCCUUCGCGAAGCUUUGAUUAAUAAACAACCGAGCAAAUUUAUGGAUCCUCCUCGUCACCGGCUUCACACACAAAAUUGGGUUAUCGGCCUUCGGCGUCACCGUAUUCUCCACUCUGUAAAAGUAUUUCCUCUUCGUCACCGGCGGCUGCUCCGACAAGAAUUUCAAAUUACUCUCAAAUUUCGUCGACGGCAGAUCCGUGUCGAUCCAAUUAUCCUUCAAAUACCCACCGCUCCACAGCGGAUCGCCGGCCUUCGGCGCCGGCGAUUUUCUCGGCUUCCAAAUGCAGAUCACCCUCUUCGGCAACAAUUCCGCAAUCGUCUUCUCAAACACCCGAUCAUCGUUAUGGAUUAAAUACUCGCCGAGUUGUUCGACAAUGUACUUGUCGAAAUCGGGUGGAUCCUCGUGGCCAAACUCUGUUCGGAUCUCGACGAUUAUGAUUUCCGAUAGCGUUUCGGCGAGGAAUUUCUUUAUAUCGGCAAAAACGACGUCGACGCUGUACGUUGAGAGGAUUCCAUGGCAGACUAACCGAUUUUCUUGAAUCCGAAUGUCGAGAAGGCGCGUGCCUAACGCGAGCUGCUCGUAAAUGGAGAGUGAUUGGCACUGGGCGAAAGGG
This 700-nucleotide unclassified non-coding RNA is filed under the name Hevea brasiliensis (rubber tree). Lineage: Eukaryota; Viridiplantae; Streptophyta; Magnoliopsida; Malpighiales; Euphorbiaceae. The record is from RNAcentral.